CCGCAACGAAGCGCAACCCUUAUUACUAGUUGCCAUCAUUAAGUUGGGCACUCUAGUGAGACUUGCCGGUGAUAACCGGAGAAGGUGGGGAUGACGUCAAAUCAUCAUGCCCCUUAUGACCUGGGCUACACACGUGCUACAAUGGAUGGUACAACGAGUCGCCAACCCGCGAGGGUGCGCUAAUCUCUUAAAACCAUUCUCAGUUCGGAUUGCAGGCUGCAACUCGCCUGCAUGAAGUCGGAAUCGCUAGUAAUCGCGGAUCAGCACGCCGCGGUGAAUACGUUCCCGGGCCUUGUACACACCGCCCGUCACACCACGGAAGUUGGGAGUACCCAAAGUAGGUUGCCUAACCGCAAGGAGGGCGCUUCCUAAGGUAAGACCGAUGACUGGGGUGAAGUCGUAACAAGGUAGCCGUAUCGGAAGGUGCGGCUGGAUCACCUCCUUCUAGACUGCAGAAACCCAGAGUUUGAUCCUGGCUCAGGCUGGAUCACCUCCUUCUA
Molecule: ribosomal RNA, 500 nt
Filed under: uncultured bacterium
Lineage: Bacteria
Description: bacterial SSU rRNA
Rfam family: Bacterial small subunit ribosomal RNA (bases 1-445)
Source: RNAcentral